Molecule: non-coding RNA, 186 nt
Filed under: Actinomycetota bacterium
Lineage: Bacteria; Bacillati; Actinomycetota
Description: Actinobacteria bacterium 6S RNA
Rfam family: 6S / SsrS RNA
About the family: E. coli 6S RNA was the first non coding RNA to be sequenced, but its function was unknown until recently. It consists of 184 nucleotides that fold into an extended hairpin structure with a large single-stranded internal bulge.
Source: RNAcentral
GAUACUCUGUUUUUCUCGUAGCUAAAGUUAAUUUUUAUGCCAACAAAUUAACGUAGGAAGCUCAAACUUAGUCUGCGGCAUAAACGCCCUUAAAUUAUGGGACUUAUAAAACAGACAGGAGAGCACCCUCUUCGUAAGGGGAUGGGCAUUUAAAACUUCUAACGGUUACGAAAAAAUGGGGUAUCG